UACCUUUAAUGUUGCCUCGGCGGAUCAGCCCGCGCCCCGUAAAACGGGACGGCCCGCCAGAGGACCCAAACUCUAAUGUUUCUUAUUGUAACUUCUGAGUAAAACAAACAAAUAAAUCAAAACUUUCAACAACGGAUCUCUUGGUUCUGGCAUCGAUGAAGAACGCAGCAAAAUGCGAUAAGUAAUGUGAAUUGCAGAAUUCAGUGAAUCAUCGAAUCUUUGAACGCACAUUGCGCCCGCUGGUAUUCCGGCGGGCAUGCCUGUUCGAGCGUCAUUUCAACCCUCAAGCCCCCGGGUUUGGUGUUGGGGAUCGGCUCUGCCCUUCUGGGCGGUGCCGCCCCCGAAAUACAUUGGCGGUCUCGCUGCAGCCUCCAUUGCGUAGUAGCUAACACCUCGCAACUGGAACGCGGCGCGGCCAUGCCGUAAAACCCCAACUUCUGAAUGUUGACCUCGGAUCAGGUAGGAAUACCCGCUGAACUUAAGCAUAUCAAUAA
This 494-nucleotide ribosomal RNA is filed under the name Fusarium acuminatum. RNAcentral's name for it is "eukaryotic LSU rRNA". The stretch from base 121 to 274 matches the Rfam family "5.8S ribosomal RNA". The record is from RNAcentral. Lineage: Eukaryota; Fungi; Ascomycota; Sordariomycetes; Hypocreales; Nectriaceae.